Stegodyphus dumicola is the source of this 456-nucleotide long non-coding RNA. RefSeq lists it as uncharacterized. Lineage: Eukaryota; Metazoa; Arthropoda; Arachnida; Araneae; Eresidae. The record is from RefSeq and is a predicted model, not a curated record.
UCGGGCUUACUAAACGAAAGAUUUUCCUUUAUUUGGUAACAAUACUUAGAGAAAAGAAAAAUAAUAAUGCCUUCUUUUCGAAAUAUCUAGAACUGCUUUCCUAUAAAAACGCUGAAUUUUAUUGGCAUUUUAUAGUUGCUGAGUUUCUUUCCAAGAUGAAAUUUAAUCUAGUGAUUUUUAUCCUUGGAAUGUUGAUCACUGCAAAUGCAGUUUCUGGGUGGAUCUUUCCCUUUAUUUCGCCUGGAGGUACAGGUGAGGCAGACGAAAGCAUACGCCCGAAUACCCCGGGAUAUCAAAAUGCCCAAGCCGAAGAAGACGCAAACGCACGUGUGGGAGAUGGAUAUAAUCGCUGAACUUACUACGAAGAAUAUCGGAAACAAUGAAAAAAGUCUAUAUUGUUGAUGAAAUUCACUGAAUUGUUAAUGAUAUUAAGUGAAUAAAACUGAAUUGCGAAUA